UGGGGAAUAUUGCACAAUGGGCGCAAGCCUGAUGCAGCCAUGCCGCGUGUGUGAAGAAGGCCUUCGGGUUGUAAAGUACUUUCAGCGGGGAUGAAGGGAGUAAAGUUAAUACUUUUGCUCAUUGACGUUACCCGAAGCAGAAGCACCGGCUAACUCCGUUCCAGCAGCCGCGGUAUUACGGAGGGUGCAAGCGUUAAUCGGAAUUACUGGGCGUCAAGCGCACGCAGGCGGUUUGGUAAGUCGGAUGUGAAAUCCCCGGGCUCAACCUGAGAACUGCAUCUGAUAAUGGCAAGCUUGAGUCACGUAGAGGGGGGUAGAAUUCCAGGUGUAGCGGUGACAUGCGUAGAGAUCUUGAGGAAUACCUGUGGCGAAGGCGGCCCCCUGAAAGAAGAAUGACGCUCAGGUGCGAAAGCGUGGGUAGCAAACAGG
RNAcentral lists this ribosomal RNA (429 nucleotides) under Chloroflexota bacterium. RNAcentral's name for it is "Chloroflexi bacterium partial 16S ribosomal RNA". It matches the Rfam family "Bacterial small subunit ribosomal RNA", at positions 355 to 776 of the family's 1533-position model. Lineage: Bacteria; Bacillati; Chloroflexota. The record is from RNAcentral.